RNAcentral lists this ribosomal RNA (497 nucleotides) under uncultured bacterium. Its description in RNAcentral is "partial 16S ribosomal RNA". It matches the Rfam family "Bacterial small subunit ribosomal RNA", at positions 28 to 507 of the family's 1533-position model. The record is from RNAcentral.
GAUGAACGCUGGCGGCGUGCCUAAUACAUGCAAGUCGAGCGAACGGACCAGAAGCUUUCUUCUCUGAUGUUAUCGGCGGACGGGUGAGUAACAUGUGGUUAACCUACCUAUAAGACUGGGAUAACUUCGGGAGACCGUAUCUAAUACCGGAUAAUAUUUUGAACCUCAUGGUUCAAAAGUGAAAGACGGUCUUUCUGUCACUUAUAGAUGGAUCCGCGCUGCAUUAGCUAGUUGGUAAGGUAGCGGCUUAGCAAGGCUACGAUGCAUAACCGACCCGAGAGGGACGUCGGCCACCCUGGAACUGAGACACGGCAGAGACACCUACGGGAGGACGCAGUCGAGAAUCCUACGCAAGGGGGGAAAGGGGAAUGGAGCAACACCGCGUGAGUGAUGAAGGUGUACGGACCGUAAAGCUAUGUUAGUAGGGGAGAACAUAUGUGCAAGUAACUGUGAACAUAUUGACGGUACCUAAACAGAAAGCUACGGCUAACUCCGUG